UACAGAGGGUGCAAGCGUUAAUCGGAAUUACUGGGCGUAAAGCGCGAGUAGGUGGUUUGUUAAGUUGGAUGUGAAAUCCCCGGGCUCAACCUGGGAACUGCAUUCAAAACUGACAAGCUAGAGUAUGGUAGAGGGUGGUGGAAUUUCCUGUGUAGCGGUGAAAUGCGUAGAUAUAGGAAGGAACACCAGUGGCGAAGGCGACCACCUGGACUGAUACUGACACUGAGGUGCGAAAGCGUGGGGAGUAAACAGG
Molecule: ribosomal RNA, 253 nt
Filed under: uncultured bacterium
Lineage: Bacteria
Description: partial 16S ribosomal RNA
Rfam family: Bacterial small subunit ribosomal RNA
Source: RNAcentral